Molecule: ribosomal RNA, 462 nt
Filed under: uncultured bacterium
Lineage: Bacteria
Description: partial 16S ribosomal RNA
Rfam family: Bacterial small subunit ribosomal RNA
Source: RNAcentral
GACGAACGCUGGCGGCGUGCUUAACACAUGCAAGUCGAACGGAAAGGCCCUGCUUGCAGGGUACUCGAGUGGCGAACGGGUGAGUAACACGUGGGUGAUCUGCCCUGCACUUCGGGAUAAGCCUGGGAAACUGGGUCUAAUACCGGAUAGGAGCCAUUUUUAGUGUGAUGGUUGGAAAGUUUUUUCGGUGUAGGAUGAGCUCGCGGCCUAUCAGCUUGUUGGUGGGGUAAUGGCCUACCAAGGCGGCUACGGGUAGCCGGCCUGAGAGGGUGGACGGCCACAUUGGGACUGAGAUACGGCCCAGACUCCUACGGGAGGCAGCAGUGGGGAAGAUUGCACAAUGGGCGCAAGCCUGAUGCAGCGACGCCGCGUGGGGGAUGACGGCCUUCGGGUUGUAAACUCCUUUCGCUAGGGACGAAGCUUUUUGUGACGGUACCUAGAUAAGAAGCACCGGCUAACUAC